This 254-nucleotide ribosomal RNA is filed under the name uncultured bacterium. RNAcentral's name for it is "partial 16S ribosomal RNA". It matches the Rfam family "Bacterial small subunit ribosomal RNA", at positions 524 to 776 of the family's 1533-position model. The record is from RNAcentral.
UACGGGGGGAGCAAGCGUUGUUCGGAUUUACUGGGCGUAAAGGGCGCGUAGGCGGCCAGCACAAGUCAGUUGUGAAAUCUCCGAGCUUAACUCGGAAAGGUCAACUGAUACUGUGCGGCUAGAGUGCGGAAGGGGCAACUGGAAUUCUUGGUGUAGCGGUGAAAUGCGUAGAUAUCAAGCGGAACACCGGUGGCGAAGGCGGCCUUCUGGACAGUGACUGACGCUGAGACGCGAAAGCGUGGGGAGCAAACAGG